Clupea harengus (Atlantic herring) is the source of this 590-nucleotide long non-coding RNA. NCBI's taxonomy places the organism in Eukaryota, Metazoa, Chordata, Actinopteri, Clupeiformes, Clupeidae. The record is from Ensembl.
GGAAUGAUGUAAAUAUAUGUGUUGUACCAGACACGACACAAGAAGUACUGCUGAAGAAGCAAAAGAAAAAAAAACACUCUCAGGCGUAACACAACAGUUUAAUGUUUAUACUGCAGAACAUGUGCACACUCAAUAUCACUUCACUGUCAUAAACACACAGUAAUUGGAUGCAAGAAGUUAGCAAUGGCCUGAAAUGGGGCCAACUGUGGUCAUCCGUUGGUCUGUUGUGCCUUGGGACUGGUGAUACAUAAGCAGAGGAGAGCUGUGCGUUAUUUCCAGUGGUUAAGGUCGCAUCCGGAGAGGAGAGCAGUGCGUUAUUUCCAGUAGUUAAGGUCGCAUCCGGAGAGGAGAGCAGUGCGUUAUUUCCAGUCGUUAAGGUCGCAUCCGGAGAGGAGAGCUGUGCGUUAUUUCCAGUCGUUAAGGUCGCAUCCGUAGAGGAGAGCUGUGCGUUAUUUCCAGUCGUUAAGGUCGCAUCCGUAGAGGAGAGCUGUGCGUUAUUUCAAGUAGUUUAAAAAAUGUCAAGCACAUGCUGGCACAUCCAGGUGAAGUGCUGCCAUUUCUUCUGCUUAAUAAUCACAUACCACUACCAC